Molecule: non-coding RNA, 674 nt
Organism: Aegilops tauschii subsp. strangulata
Lineage: Eukaryota; Viridiplantae; Streptophyta; Magnoliopsida; Poales; Poaceae
Source: RefSeq, a predicted model, not a curated record
AUCGGCAGCUCAAACUUUCUGCAGACGCCCAGUUAAGAAUCAAGGGAUGUCCAAGUCCAAACAACAUGGACACCAAGCCGGACGUGCCUCCACAGAAAACUAAAACAGAUGACCAUCCACCGUAUGUUCCAACACAGCAUGUCUCCACAGCAUCGCAUAGAGCUGGUGCGGGGAGUACUAAAGAUGAUAUGCCUAGACUACAGAACUAUGCAUCUGCGACACCAUAUAAUGCCUCUGGGCAGAUGACACAGGCAUCUUCUGCUGAUCCGCCUACAGCGUCAAGCUCAAGCACCAGACGGACAAGCAAGUAGACCCAGGCAGGACCCUAAAUACUUUUAAGGGACGUGAAUUCAUGAUCCACUUACAUAUUGAUUUCCCUGUAUGGAUUGAUUGAUCAAGAAGAAAAGUGAUCUGAACAUCAAUUGGCAUACUUUGUCUCCAAAUUAAUACAUGUAUUGAAGAUCUGAUAGUGUGUAAGUAGUUAAGCGGUGGAAACGAAAUAUGGAUUAAUGUAUUGCAUUAUAGUAGUUUGUGCUUGCUUUGGUGAAUUUGUAUUGUCCUAAGUUCAUACGUUGGUAUUGUAUUGACUUCAUAACUGGGUUGUCGUUUUCUUGGGAGAUGUUCAUUGGGUUAUAUUGCGUUCGUGUAUGUACUUCGCAACAAUAAAAUGGUAU